Molecule: ribosomal RNA, 496 nt
Filed under: uncultured bacterium
Lineage: Bacteria
Description: partial 16S ribosomal RNA
Rfam family: Bacterial small subunit ribosomal RNA
Source: RNAcentral
GAUGAACGCUGGCGGCGUGCCUAAUACAUGCAAGUCGAGCGAACAGACGAGGAGCUUGCUCCUCUGACGUUAGCGGCGGACGGGUGAGUAACACGUGGAUAACCUACCUAUAAGACUGGGAUAACUUCGGGAAACCGGAGCUAAUACCGGAUAACAUGUUGAACCGCAUGGUUCAACAGUGAAAGACGGUUUUGCUGUCACUUAUAGAUGGAUCCGCGUCGCAUUAGCUAGUUGGUAAGGUAACGGCUUACCAAGGCAACGAUGCGUAGCCGACCUGAGAGGGGGAUCGGCCAACCGGGAACGGAGAACCGGUCCAAACUCCAAGGGGGGGCAGAGGAGGGGAACUUUCCGCAAGGGGCGAAAGCCUGGCGGAGCAACGCCGGGGGGGUGAAGAAGGUCUUCGGAUCGUAAAACGCUUUUAUGAGGGAAAAAAAAAUGGGAAAGUAACGUGGCAGGUCUGGCCGGUACCAAAACAGAAAGCCACGGUUAAUUACGU